CCAUGGGAGAGCACGGUGCCUCAGGAAGCCCUGGUGCUCCUGGUGUAAAAGGUUUCCAGGGUGAAGCAGGAGCUCCAGGAGCAAAAGGUGACCGAGGAACCCCUGGACUGCCAGGAAUCAAAGGAGAACAGGGAGAGAGGGGACCACGUGGACCAACAGGUG
Molecule: long non-coding RNA, 162 nt
Organism: Seriola dumerili (greater amberjack)
Lineage: Eukaryota; Metazoa; Chordata; Actinopteri; Carangiformes; Carangidae
Exons: 3
Source: RefSeq, a predicted model, not a curated record